RNAcentral lists this transfer RNA (93 nucleotides) under Streptomyces lavendulae subsp. lavendulae. Its description in RNAcentral is "tRNA-Arg(cct)". The record is from RNAcentral. Lineage: Bacteria; Bacillati; Actinomycetota; Actinomycetes; Kitasatosporales; Streptomycetaceae.
CCUGCUGCUGGCCGGCGGGCGGGUCGCCGACCUCCUGGGCCGCCGCCGGGUACUGGUCGCCGGGCUCGGGCUGUUCGCGGCGGCCUCGCUGGC